GACGAACGCUGGCGGCGUGCUUAACACAUGCAAGUCGAACGGAAAGGCCCUGCUUUUGUGGGGUGCUCGAGUGGCGAACGGGUGAGUAACACGUGAGUAACCUGCCCUUGACUUUGGGAUAACUUCAGGAAACUGGGGCUAAUACCGGAUAGGAGCUCCUGCUGCAUGGUGGGGGUUGGAAAGUUUCGGCGGUUGGGGAUGGACUCGCGGCUUAUCAGCUUGUUGGUGGGGUAGUGGCUUACCAAGGCUUUGACGGGUAGCCGGCCUGAGAGGGUGACCGGCCACAUUGGGACUGAGAUACGGCCCAGACUCCUACGGGAGGCAGCAGUGGGGAAUAUUGCACAAUGGGCGGAAGCCUGAUGCAGCAACACCGCGUGCGGGAUGACGGCCUUCGGGCUGUAAACCGCUUUCGCCUGUGACGAAGCGUGAGUGACGGUAAUGGGUAAAGAAGCACCGGCUAACUACGUG
RNAcentral lists this ribosomal RNA (468 nucleotides) under uncultured bacterium. RNAcentral describes it as "partial 16S ribosomal RNA". It matches the Rfam family "Bacterial small subunit ribosomal RNA", at positions 28 to 507 of the family's 1533-position model. The record is from RNAcentral.